UGAUAGAAAAACGAAAAAGUGAUUUCUAUAUUUCCGGCUAUACUGUUUGUGAUGUAGACAAGGAAAUUAAGAGGGUUUUAGAAAUAACAUUAAAUUGCUGUUUGGAGAACGUUUAAUUUUGUACUUUUUGUCAAAUGACUCACCUGUCUCCUUGCCUGUCUCAAAGUUCAAUUGUUUUUUCCUCUGCUUCUGCGUCAAUUUGCAAGUGCAACCAAUAGCAGUCAAUUUUAGUCAGCUGUUUAUGGAUUAAAAUGGCGGUUAACGUUUUGAAUUGCUUGUGCUAAAAACGUGUGCCUAGUGGGAUUAAUAUCUGGCAGAUCAGCAUUCGUGUUUUUAAAGGGUGAUGUGGUGUAUUAUUUUUAACAUUAGGUUGAACAACUUCACGUGAAUUUAUAGCAAGCUGUGGGAGGAUGUGGAGGCCUCGUCGCUCGACGGUGACCUUGGCCGACGUGGUGGAGCUGAGGGGCGAGGCAGGACUGUCGGAGCCCGAGCUGUGGGCGCUGCUGUGCCAGGCCGCGCAGGCGCUGCAGGACCACUUCCUGUCCGGCGGCGACGAGGCCUGUCCGCCGCCGGGGACGGCGCCCUGCCGCCUGCACAUCACCAGCAGGGGUCGCGUGGCGCUGGACCUGAGCCCGGGGCCCGCCGGCGACCCGCACGCCGCCCCCGAGCCGCCCCCGCCCCGUGGCGCCGCCGCCGACACCGCCGACAGCAUCGAGAAGAUGUGGAUGUACUCGCUGGGCAGCACGCUGCUGGCGAGCCGUGCCUCGCCGGGCAGGUCCCUGCAGGCGGCCCUCGCCCGCAUGACGCACCCGGACCCGCGCCGCCGCGCCUCGCUCAUGGACCUGCUGGACGUGAUUGCUGACUACUGUCACACAUCUAGUCAGAGUAAACCAUUUACUCACAUAGUCAUGGACCUGUACUCUGAAGUCCUGGGUAAAUCAUCACAGUGCCUUCCUGACAACGCGAGCUCCACUCUCAGCCCCGUGACUGGCCAGGAGCACCGCAGAUCCAAUAGCUAUCCGAAACCAAAGCGGCAGGAAAUCUCCUCACCGUGCAGAGACAACAGCUCCAGUAUUUUUAAAAGCUCCUCGUUGAACAGCAAGGACCUCCCGACACGGAGGCACCCCGUGCAGCGGGCUGCCUCCCGCCUGUACCGAGCCACGUCCUUCCUGGACUCCCGGGCCAAGUACUGCACUCCGAGGACCUACAUCGGCCCCGAGUUCAUCGUCAGGGCGGCCAACCCCAGCAAGAUCAUACAUAUCAGUCGAGUCAAGGUAGCCCACAAGAGAAGAGUGUUAGUAAUAAUGUUGAGUGGACAGAAACUAGAUAUUUCUUGUAACGGGAACAGCACUACCGCAAAAGAAUUGUUCGAGGUGGUGGUCCAGAGCGAGGGCCUGGAGGAGAACUUCAUGCUGGGGCUGGCGGUGCUGCUGGCCGGGGACUUCGUGUUCCUCCCGCCCGACACCAAGCUGUGCAAGGUGGCGCCCGCGGGCUGGAGCCGCCCGGAGCUGAAGAGGACCUCCGGCGUGCCUUCCUGCGCCUUCACCGUCUACGUCAGGGUCAGGCUGUUCCUGCCCAGCCUCCGGGGCAUCAGGCGCUGGGAGGUGAAGCACGCGCUGUACCUGCAGCUGCGCAGAUGCAUGCUGGAGCAGCACGAGGACUGCGCGCUGGAGGAGGCGGCCGUGCUGGCGGGGCUCGCGCUGCAGGCAGAGUUCGGGGACCACAACGAACAGGAGCACGGGUGCGGGGACUACUUCCUGCUGGAGCACUACGUUGCGGAGGGGGCGGUGCCCCGCGGCCGGGAGGCGAGCGUGAGGGCGCUGCUCCAGGGGCAGCACGCUCGCUGGCGGGGGCUGGACCCGGGGCGGGCGGAGGAGGCCUUCGUGGCCCGGCUCCAGCGCUCCGCCCGCUACGGCUCCCACUUCCACGCCGCCCGGCUGGUGAACAAAGAGGGCCCCGACUCGCCCGUGUGGCUGGUGGUGAGUGGCGAGGGAGUGUCAGUGUGCAGUCGCCACUCCGAGUCCCGCCAGAGGACCCUGAGGGAGCAUUUUACCUGGAAGAACAUCCAGAAGCUGAGCUUCAGCAAGAGCUGCUUCUUCCUCCAGUCGGCGGCCGGUGGCCUCACCAGGCUCAAGCUCCGGAUGGACGACAGAAAGAGUUACUUUGCAUUCCACCUGGCUUCUCUUCAUCAUCAGUUCUUCCUGAAGCUAAAAGUGGAACUCAUAUCUCUGCAAGCUCUUUCAACAGAGUUCGGGGUGCCGUUGAAGCGGUCGCCCGAGCGGGAGCGCCUGUUCCGGGUGGAGGACGGCCAGCCCAGCAGGGUGCCCGUGCUGGACAAGUGGCAGUACGGGCUGUUCACGCCGCCCAAGCAUCGCGCCGGUACCCCGCUCGAGGAGACCCAGAACAAGGAGAACGAGCAGCCCAACGGCCGCCCCGCCGUGCCGCUGCUCAGGUCAAACAGGGAGUGGGAUCGGGACGCCAGCUUGAGCUUGCGCCACGUGGCCGGCGAGGUCAGCAAGCCCGCUGUGGCGGCGGAAGCGAUCACGCCUCGCCGGGCCAGGGUGAAGAUGGGCACCCGAGCCUUCACCAGCAGUCAGCAGCAUCUCUUCCUGCCGACAGACGCCUCCUGGAAGAUAUGCAACAUCACGACUGAGAAAGGAACCAAAGUGUUACCGGAAACCACUGUGAAAAAGUCACCACUAUCUGACGCAUAUGUUAUCAGUAAGUAGAGUUUUACUAUUUAUUUUUAUGAUUAUUUUAUAUUGUAUCUGUAUCUGUGGACCUUUAAGUAGCUCUUAUAAACUUGGCUGAAAACAAAAAAAAAUUGAUUUAUUUUUGGCAAACAAUGUAUUUAUUUAUUAAUGGUUGAUUGCAGGGCAUUUUUUGUCUCAUCAUGAAUGUACGUAUAUAAAUUUGUAGUAAUUUUUGUGACAAAAAUUGCUAUUACUUAACAGGCUACUCAAGCAUUUUGCAGUUAUAACCACAAUGGAAACUGCACGAAAAACUAAGUUGCUGCAAUGUGGGAUGUUUGCUUUGGAGUUGAUAUGCGGUAAUUAUAACUGAAUAAAAAUCUCUCAUUUCAAGUAUGUGUACAAACAGUUUUUUACUACAUGGCCAAGAAAAACUAAUUUUUUGUUAAACUUGUCUGUUUACAAACACUGAGGGUUUUCUGGUACAUAUUCUGUUUCUGUUUUCCCGAUAGCCCGAAAGAGUUCUUUAUUCGCGAUCCACCAAAACAGUUAUUUAUUCCCGAAAGCCCGAAAGAGUUCUUUAUUCGCGAUCCAUUGAAACAGUUCUUUAUUCCCGAUUGCUCGAAGAAAGGGUUCUUUAUUCGCGAUCCACCGAAACAGUUCUUAAUUCUCGAUAGCCCGAAAUAGUUCUUUAUUCGCGAUUGACAGAGUUAUCUGCUCGCGGUCGACAUUUUAACCAAUUCUUGAUUAUCUAACACUAUUAGGAAGUGGCAGGUAGGUUAAAACAAAGCAUAUACACAACAAAUUUUAGCGAAAUAUGAGCUAAAUUAUGUCAAAGGUUUCAAUCAUUGUCACUCUGACAAUGCUUCAUAAUCAUGCAAAUAAUGUGCUUGAAUCAAAUUGUAUAUAAUUUCAUAUACAAUCGUAACUAAAAUUAUCAUUAAAAAAAUUAAAUUACCAUAAUUUGAUGGAUUAGUGUGGGAUGGAAGACAGAUUAUUACUUUUAAUAACUGGUAACGAUAACCAUUUUAAUAACCGGUUAUCUCUAAUAACUACCAGCAAAUAAAAAAUCGGAAUAGAGGUUCUCAUACAAAGUUUUUUUAGUUAAUACUGUCACGUCUCACUUUCAGGGGGGGGGUUCCUCUUCUUAAAUAUGUAGCUCAGAUAAAUAAUAAAAUAAAAACAUUAACUAGCCAUAGAGCUCCUCGGCAUUAGAAUCAUUUUAGUAGGUUUAUCCUUGUACAAGGAUUGAAAAAUUAGGAUACUGAGAAAAAUAAGAUAACCCUAAAAACAAUAGAACACAUAACAUUUAUUAAGAAAAAUAAAUAGUGAUAACAAAUGAGGUGGAACCUUCCACGUCCUCUACAAUAAAUAAAUACAAAUAAAUAAAUAAACAUAGUUAUUAUUAUUCCAUUAUUCUACCCACAAACAUUCUCAAUUUAUUCUUGUCACAAUUUUCCAUGCGACCUAGUGAUGCCAAACGUCAUUAGUUAUUCCGCAACUUCAGUAUUAAAAUUAUCAAGAACAUUCUCGAACAAGAAAAAGACUUUAACAAUUACUCAGUUGAGUUCUAUAACGUCAUCAUAAACAUGUAAGAAAAGGACCGCGAUACAAACGAAUUACAGAGUUUAUAAUGGAAAAUAAAAUAAAAUUUUAGUUCUGACAUCAUUAAAAGAUAGUAAACCAUUGUUCAAAAAUUAUUUAAGAGAGCAACUACCACGCAAAAAGGGAAUUUUAAACAUUUAACUAUGAAGAAACAUAAGUUGCAGAAGACUAAGACCAUGGCAUUAUCCAGACGCCAUUUCACUCACGUAACCCUCUCUUCUUCGCUGCACGGCCGGGCAGCAUAACAGUCUUUCACAGGAUUACAGCCACGAAGAAACAUUUCACGUCCCUUUUAACCAAAUUACUUGGCCCCAAAACCCCUACGGGAAAAACAUCCUGACGGGAAGUUUUCUUGUGUUUUCCAAACACGUAAAGUUAUUAAAACAAGCCGGCCGCGCAUGCGUCCACGCUGUGAUGUCCACGUAGUCAGAAAACCGGCCGCUAGAUUGCAACACUCGCCUGCGCAUCGGUGAUUGCGCACAAUCUACGCUCCCAGCUGGCCUCAAAAGAACGGUAAACAAGCCUGCGCCGAAUUUCUCCAGAACCGCAGCAAACAACGCGUCAGCUGGCCUGGCUGAAACGCGGUCACGCCUGCGUCCCCAGACAUACGUGCAAGACUCGCACUCUCCCAGCCCCACGGAGACCCUAAUUACAUCAAAGGUGUUACAACAUCUGAGCUUGAGGGAAACUAAGUCCCGACAAAUAUAAUAAUUUAUAUAUUAAUAAUAACAAUUUUUAACCACGUGACAAUACAUUUUAUUGGUUAUAUUAAGUUAUCUCCUUGGCAGCGCAAAACUAAUUUAAUCGAUGCUGUACAACUACUAAAGGCCUCAAUGCUUGUGGCGCUAGAUUAAUAUGUGCAGCUACUAGCUUAACUGUUGUUGCUAUUUAUUAUACUUGUCUUGUAUUGACACAUAGAUUUAUAUAUAUGCACAAAUGCUUGUGCAUAGGGAUACAGUUGAUAAUAGUUAUAUUAUAAUAUUACAAAACACAAUGGUAAUUUUAAUCAUUUAUUAAAGAAAGUCAGAAUUAUCUCAGGUUUUUAGCAAAAGGAAAAAUGUUAUUGCUUUCAAAAUUUUAAUAAUUGUUGGCACUGCAGAACAAAUAUAUAUAUGGAAAAAUGUCUGGAGUGACGAUGCGCACAUUUACUUAGCAAUCAAAAGUCUCUUUUGUUCGGGUCCAAUAUCGUAUACACAGAUUCAGUCUAGAAUUAUGAUUUACAUAUGUCUUUACCUCGGCUAGAUCAAAAUUGUUUAAGUUGGUAGAGCUUUGAUGCUCUCUCUCCCAGACCACUGGGUAGUUAAAAGUUGUGUGUUAUACUAGUGUCAAAUUAAAUUAACGUAAUUAAUAUUACAAUAUUUAAGUUUCUCAAAGUCUUUCUUGAAGUUAGGCCACAAAAUAAAUUUGUUAUGGGCGUGAUAAGUGUUUCGUAUUAAUGAGAUGGAGUAACAAACACAGUCAUAUAUUACUCAUGUAUUUAUGCACUCCUAGAAUCUUUAUCCUUUUGGAUAAAGUCCAAUUAAUAUACGAUGACACUUAAACAAUCUGUUUCUUUCAUCCUUUUGUGCGGAUGCCUAUUUCUAAAUAGCUAUUCUUCAAGAUAGUUUUCGACGAAGUCAGAUACGCUUCCAUUCAUUGAUAGGCUAUCACAUUCCCUUUUUUUGAAACCAUAAUUUAAGUAUCUUAACAAUACGAGGAAGACAAGAAAUCAAUUUUCAGACUAGCACCAAAAGUUACUGAAGGACAUCUGGCUCCAAUUUCAAGUGAGCGAAUGAAGGUAUCAACAGCAGCCCAAGUCAUGAGUCACACUGUUGCAGCAGCUAUCCACAGUUUUGUCAGUAGAGAUAUACUUCCUCCAGAAGCUACUGUGACUGCAUCGUUUGUAGCUGAUGUCGAUGAAUUGUUCGACAGUUUCAACGGUUCUGACAGAUAUCCCGACGCUGGCAAGCCCCUCAGGUGCUGCUUGUCGGAGUCAAGUCCACAUUUAGAGUAUUGGCAAGAAAAAGCUAAAAGCCUCAUCCACAACUGGCAGUUUUGCACUGAUCCUGUUGCUGACCGGAGGUUAAGGCGUGAGAGAAAACAAAAAACACCACCGUUGAGACCAGGUAAGAAACGAUGCACUGUCUCACAUCCACCUUCACAGUGGGGUUGGAUAACGUCCAUCAAUGCAGUCAUCAAUGUUUGGAAUGUUGUAUCAGAAGCAGGCUUCAGCUAUUUGCAGCUGCGAGCACUUAAUCAAGAUCCACUCGAAAAUCUUUUUGGGUCGAUUCGUUCAUAUUGUGGUGCAAACACCAAUCCAACUUGUGUUCAGUUUGCUGCUGCUUUGAAAACUGCCAUUGUUAAUGGAUAGGCUUUCAAGAGUUUCUCAGGUAACUGCCGAAAGGAUGAUGCUAAUAUUUUUAAUGAUUUGCGGUGUUUCCUUGUAACUGAAUGUCAAGGAAGUGAACAAGAUUCAACUUGUGACUAUACAAAACUUCCAUCAGAUAUGUUACACAGUGCUGUAACUGGAAUUGACUGUGCAGUUGAAACAGGAGAUGCAUCCAUUCUGUCAUCAGCAUAUGUUGCAGGGUUUAUUGCCCACAAGCUGUUGGAGAAAGUUAAGUGUGACAAGUGUAAAGUGUGUUUGUUACGAAGUAACGUUGAUUUUUGUAAUACUGGUGUAAGUUUCAAAGAUUAUUCAAGUGUGUCUGACAGUCUGACCUACCCCUCUCAGAACUUGGUCACUUUUGUUGCAAAGUUUGCAAAUAUAUUUGAAGAAUUCAUGGUUGUCAACUGCCACAUUGAUAAUCUUUUGCUGUCACUAUCUCAGCAUGUUCUGGAUAUUGUUAGUAUGCCAUGGCUUGAAGAGACUGCCUGCGAACAACAUUCAGAUUAUCUUCAAAAGGGUAUUGUAAAAGCAGCUGCAGAAAUCUCUGUGUGCUGGUGGUGCAAACGUAUGAAAAGAAAAUUGAUUGCAACAAAGAAGAGUAAACAGCAGUACAGAAAAAUUCACAUAUUAACACACAAGUAAUUUUGAUUAUUGAUUCUCUGUUCAGUAUGUUGAAUGGCUGAUAGUUGAUGGAGAGUGGUGUUGGAGGGCCCCUGACCUCCCCAACUUUUCACGAGUGUUUUCCAGAAAUACAAUAGAUCAGCUGAUUAUUUGGUUCAAUGUCAUGGUCACCUAGUUUAGUUCAUUAAUUUUUUUAGCAUUGGAAAUACUCUUGUAACUAAUUUUUAUAUUUAUUAUAUGCAGUAAAGGUAUUGUACUAUGUUUUUUACCAAUUCUUCAGGUUAUUAGGUAGAUUAUUUUUAUAUAAAUGCAUUUAUCAGUAUUAUAUCUAUUGCAAUAUUAUUUUCAUAACUAUAUUGUUAUGUUUGUAGUUAUUUGGAAGCUGCAAUUAUGUUUCCUGAGAUUGUUAUUUGUUUUGGUAAAAGGAAGGAUGGGGGUGGCAUCAAUUUUUUAUACUUCUUUUUUGUAUGCAGGAUUUUGACAGUUUCCGUAUGUGUUCUUAUAAUGGGAAAAAGACAGAUGUUUGUUCACUUUGUUCUCAUGGGAUACGGUAAAUCAAUCAGUGGUUAUGAUUUUAGAAUUAUUCAAUUACAAUAGGUAUUUGUAGGUAACUAAUGUUGGAAAUUUUUUUACCAAAAAUGAGUGGUGAUCAUGAUCAGUUGAAUUGAAAAAAUUAAAUGAAUUAAAAUUUACAAAUGUCGUGGCUGCCAUUUGAGUUUUACUUUUUACAGACAUGUUCUUUUAUCUUUUCUUUUUUUAAUAAUAACAGAAUGCUGAUGUCAGCAAUUCAUUUGCGUCAUGCAGUUUGUAUUGAAGGAAAGUCUCCAACAGUCUACCAGUGUACAAAUCCUCAAGUGAAUACUAAUGAUCUGCUAAUAUCAUUGUUGUAAAGUGGAACUUAUGUGUACUUUUCUUCACCAACUAUAGUGGUUGUGCAAUCAGUGGUCUGCAUUUCCUUAAUGUGUCUUCCAAACUCCAUCACAUCAUUUCAUUCAAGGAGUACAUUAAGUAAAAAUUGCUGUGAAAGUGGCUAUGUCUCUGUCAUAAUGUCAAAUUAUUGCUGUGUAUGUUUGAGCACUGGUCCUUUAUUACUAUUGCAGUAUUUUUUAAUAUCUUUACAUAUUAUGUAGAUAAAACUAUUUUUCCACUUCAUGUGUGUAAGCAGUUGAAUAGUAUGUGAAUGCAUUCAUUACAAUGUUAUUUAAUAUGGGAGUAGUUGCUGGUAAGUCUAGCAUAAUUUUAAUAUUAUAAAACAUUUAAUGUUUUUUAAGCUAUAUAAUUUCUGCAAAGCCUUUAAAAAUGGACAGAACAUAUAACUUCACAGUAUUAAUGGUGCAGAUUUUACCAAUAUGAACAUAAUGAAAUUUAUCUCAAAACAUUUUUCAGAAUAAGACAAAUACUUUACUAGGUCAAGUCUUUGUGCAGAAAAUUUGAAGGAAAAAAAAUACAAUCUGUACAAUAGUAAUAUGGUAUAAUAAUCACACAGGGAUCUGUCCUCUGAAAUUUGAGGUGGGGGUACAUUUUAUAAUGUUCGUGUAGACAUAACUUUGACCAUUUUUAUUGCACAUUUAUUUCUUUAUACUUUUUAUUUAAGGCAUUUCAGAACUUCUUUGCAAAAAAAAAAAGAUUCAAGAUUAAAAUACAUAAAAUUAACAUGUAAUCAAUUCUUUAAAAAUAACAAAUUUAAUAUUCCUGCCUUGAUUUAAAACAUCCUGCCGGACCGUAGAGCGUAUUGUAUAUCCAUUCUCAAAAGUUGUUUCACAUUUUUCUUCUGUAACUUAGCAUAUUUACAUUUUGUGCAAGUGCAUAUGCAUACAAAAGAGUGAAAGCACCACAAUAAAAGAACAUGACCUGACUUUCAAACUAAUUAAAUUUAUUACCUACAAAAUUAACAUCAACUUAAGUCAUUUUAUGAUUUUUAGGAAACAAAAUUUUAUAUGUAAAAAUGUUUGGUUCAAAUGUUUCUAUUCCAUCAAAUCCAUUCUCAUUUACAUAUCCUUGUGGUUGAUUACAGGAUAAAUUUUUUUUGUAACUAUGUCAAAAUUUCCAUUAAAUAUCGCAAAUGGAUCCUUGGUAACAAUCAAGAAAUAUUAACAAUAUGUAUUUGUGAAAAAUUUUAAUUUAUUGUGACAUUUUUAUUUGUUAAAAUCUAUAUACAUUGCUGCUUCCAUUGCAAAAAAAGUUUUUUUUUAAAUUAUUUAGGCAUAGUUAAUAAAUUAGAGAUUUUUUUUUUUUGCAAUUGUGUAAUGCUUCCACUUGUACAAAUGAUUGUAAUCAGUUGUAUUGAAAAUAUUCUAUGAACAUUGAUUGAUGUAGUAGUUCUUUGUCAUUUGAGUUGAGUUUUUUUUACAGAUAUUUUCAAUAACAGAAUUUUGGUGUGCAUAAUUUUUCAUGGCAAAAUCCUCAGGCAAAGGCCAAAAUCCUUUUCAAUCCACUGCAUCGAUUAACUGUGCCAUGAAGAUAGUGUGGUAUGAAUAAAGUAUUAUGGAGUUAAUUUAUGUAAAAUUGUAUUAACAAAGAUGUGUC
Molecule: RNA transcript, 9810 nt
Organism: Bacillus rossius redtenbacheri
Lineage: Eukaryota; Metazoa; Arthropoda; Insecta; Phasmatodea; Bacillidae
Gene name: tyrosine-protein phosphatase non-receptor type 13-like
Exons: 18
Source: RefSeq, a predicted model, not a curated record